This 253-nucleotide ribosomal RNA is filed under the name uncultured bacterium. RNAcentral's name for it is "partial 16S ribosomal RNA". It matches the Rfam family "Bacterial small subunit ribosomal RNA", at positions 524 to 776 of the family's 1533-position model. The record is from RNAcentral.
UACGUAGGGGGCGAGCGUUGUCCGGAAUCGUUGGGCGUAAAGCGCGUGUAGGCGGCCCGGUAAGUCCGCUGUGAAAGUCCAGGGCUCAACCCUGGGAUGCCGGUGGAUACUGUCGGGCUCGAGUCCGGAAGAGGCGAGUGGAAUUCCUGGUGUAGCGGUGAAAUGCGCAGAUAUCAGGAGGAACACCAAUGGCGAAGGCAGCUCGCUGGGACGUGACUGACGCUGAGACGCGAAAGCGUGGGGAGCAAACAGG